GUGGGGAAUAUUGGACAAUGGGCGAAAGCCUGAUCCAGCCAUGCCGCGUGAGUGAUGAAGGCCUUAGGGUUGUAAAGCUCUUUCAGUAGGGAAGAUAAUGACGGUACCCCCAGAAGAAGCCCCGGCUAACUCCGUGCCAGCAGCCGCGGUAAUACGGAGGGGGCUAGCGUUGUUCGGAAUUACUGGGCGUAAAGCGCACGUAGGCGGACCAGAAAGUCAGGGGUGAAAUCCCGGGGCUCAACCCCGGAACUGCCUUUGAAACUCCUGGUCUUGAGGUCGAGAGAGGUGAGUGGAAUUCCGAGUGUAGAGGUGAAAUUCGUAGAUAUUCGGAGGAACACCAGUGGCGAAGGCGGCUCACUGGCUCGAUACUGACGCUGAGGUGCGAAAGCGUGGGGAGCAAACAGGAUUAGAAACCCUAGUAGUCC
This 425-nucleotide ribosomal RNA is filed under the name uncultured bacterium. Its description in RNAcentral is "partial 16S ribosomal RNA". It matches the Rfam family "Bacterial small subunit ribosomal RNA", at positions 354 to 796 of the family's 1533-position model. The record is from RNAcentral.